RNAcentral lists this ribosomal RNA (301 nucleotides) under uncultured bacterium. RNAcentral's name for it is "partial 16S ribosomal RNA". It matches the Rfam family "Bacterial small subunit ribosomal RNA", at positions 509 to 807 of the family's 1533-position model. The record is from RNAcentral.
CAGUCGCCACGGUAAUACGAAGGGUGCAAGCGUUAAUCGGAAUUACUGAGCGUAAAGGGUGCGUAGGCGGUUAGUUAAGUCUGUCGUGAAAUCCCCGGGCUCAACCUGGGAAUGGCGAUGGAUACUGGCUGGCUAGAGUGUGUCAGAGGAUGGUGGAAUUUCCGGUGUAGCGGUGAAAUGCGUAGAGAUCGGAAGGAACAUCAGUGGCGAAGGCGGCCAUCUGGGACAACACUGACGCUGAAGCACGAAAGCGUGGGGAGCAAACAGGAUUAGAUACCCGCGUAGUCCCUGUCUCUUAUAC